CUAAUUAAACAAUUGGGAUUCUGAGCACUUCUUUGCUCAGAGAAAUGAUUAAUAAUUUCAAAAUUUCAAAAUGUCAAGCUGAUUAUAUAAACCAAAUCACUGAAAUUUUGCAUUUAACUUGGGUCUUGUCUUUGGUCAACAGAAAUAAUGUGAUACCAUGGAUAUACUGUGGAUUUAUUGAAAUGAAGAGCAGUUGCUUCUCUGAUCACCCACAGAUCACAUUUAAAAUGAUUAAUCAUGCAUUACAACAGAUUGGUUAAUUUGGAAAAUUUUAUUAUAUGAGUUUCUAUAUCAUUAUUUUUAUUAUUAUUGCUUUAUUAUAAUUUAUCUCAGAUACAUGAAGUCACUUGGUGCUCUGGUAGCUUUCAUGCGCGUCCGUGUUAAGAGACCACCAAACGGGCUUUGUGUGAGCAAUAAAGCUGUUUAUUUCACCUGGGUGCAGGUGGGCUGAGUCCGAAAAGAGAGUCAGCGAAGGGAGAUAGGGGUGGGGCCGUUUUAUAGGAUUUGGGUAGGUAAAGGAAAAUUACAGUCAAAGGGGGUUUGUUCUCUGGCGGGUAGGAGUGGGGGUCGCAAGGUGCUCAGUGGGGGUGCUUUUUGAGCCAGGAUGAGCCAGGAAAAGGACUUUCACAAGGUAAUGUCAUCACUUAAGGCAAGGACCGGCCAUUUACACUUCUUUUGUGGUGGAAUGUCAUCAGUUAAGGUGGGGCAGGGCAUAUUCACUUCUUUUGUGAUUCUUCAGUUACUUCAGGCCAUCUGGGCGUAUACGUGCAAGUCACAGGGGAUGCGAUGGCUUGGCUUGGGCUCGGAGGCCUGACAUUCCUGCCUUCUUAUAUUAAUAAGAAAAAUAAAACAAAAUAGUGUUGAAGUGUUGGGGCGGCGAAAAUUUUUGAGGGUGGUAUGGAGAGAGAAUGGGCGAUGUUUCUCAGGGCUGCUUCAAGUGGGAUUAGGGGCAGCGUGGGAACCUAGAGAGGGAGAGAUUAAGUUGAAGGGAGGUCUUGUGUAAGCGGUGAUAUUGUGGGGAUGUUAGAAGAAACAUUUGUCAUAUAGAAUGAUUGGUCAUGGCCUGGAUACGGUUUUGGAUGAAUUGAGAAACCAAAUAGAAUAAAAGAAGGAGAAAAACAGGUAUAAAAGGUCUAAGAAUUGGGAUGACUCAGGAUAUCUGAUUAGAGAGUGCCUAAGGAGAUUCAGUAUAGUCCUGCCAGCAAAGAUUAUUUAUUUACUUCAAGAGUUAAGAGUGGCAGUUUGGGGAUAGCACCAGGAGAUAUCAGCUGUGAUGGCUUGGAAAAACAGUGUAAACCGGCAGUGUAAACAAGAGCAGGGCAUGUAUGAGUAGUUGAGAACGGUGAAUAUGAGUAUGACUAGACAGAAGAUAGUGGGGAUGACAAGUUUUUUGGGGCACAGUCUAAGUUGGUCUGGUGUCUGGAAUGAGACUGGGGCCUAAUAAAAAGGAGCGUCUAUACAGGAGCUUAAAUGGGCUGUACCCUGUAGCAUUCUGAGGACAGGCCUGAAUUCUGAGAAGGGAAGGUGGUAAAAGUAUUGUCCAGUCCUUUUUAAGUUGGUGGCUGAGCUUGGUGAGGUGUGUUUUUAAAAGACCUUUAGUCCAUUCUACUUUUCUUGAAGAUGGAGGAUCGUAAGGGAUAUAAAGGUUUCACUGAAUACUAAGAGCCCGAAAAACUGCUUGGCUGAUUUGACUAAUAAAGGCUCAUCUGUUAUCAGACUGUAUUGAGGUGGGAAGGCUAAACUGAGGAAUUAUGUCUGACAGAAUGGAAGAAAUGACUGCGGUGGCCUUCUCAGACCCUGUAGGAAAGGCCUGUACCUAUCCAGUGAAAGUAUCUACCUAGACUAAGAGGUAUUUUAGUUUUCUGACUCGGGGCAUGUUGAGUAAAGCUAAUUUGCCAGUCCUGGGUGGGGCAAAUCCUCGAGCUUGAUGUGUAGGGAAGGGAGGGGGCCUGAAUAAUCCCUGAGGAGUAGUAGAAUAGCAGAUGGAACACUGAGAAGUUAUUUCCUUGAGGAUAGAUUUCCACGAUGGAAAGGAAAUGAGAGGUUCUAAGAGACAGGCUAGUGGCUUGUACUAUAGCAUAACCUGCCUUUGCUGGUAUGUGGCGAUUAGGCCUGGUGGAACCACCAUCAAUAAAUCAAGCGUGAUCAGGUGAGGAACAGGAAAGAAGGAAAUAUAGGGAAAUGGGGUGAAUAUCAGGUGGAUCAGAGAGAUACAGUCAUGGGGGUCAGGUGUGGUAUCAGGAAUAAUGUGGGAGGCCGGAUUGAAGUCUGGGCCAGGAACAACGGUAAUUGUGGGACUUAACAAAGAGUGAGUACAGCUGAAGGAGCCGGGGAGCAGCAGGUAUAUGCGUCAGGUAUGAGGAAGAAAAUAGAUUUUGGAAGUUAUGAGAACUGUAGAGAUUGAGUUGAGCAUAGUUUGUGAUUUUGAGGGCCUCUAAAAGUAUUAGGGCAGCAGCAGCGGCUGCACGGAGACAUGAUGGCCAGCCUGAAACAGUAAGGUCAAGUUGUUUGGACAAAAAGGCUACAGGACGCGAUCCUGGUCCUUACAUAAGAAUUCCGACUGCACAGCCCUGCACUUUGGCUGUGUGUAAUGAAAAGGGUUGGGAUGAGUCAGGGAGAACUAGAGUGGGGGCAAUUUCUAAAGCUGUCUUCAAGGAAUGGAAAGAGGAGUGGGGAAAGGAUUUAGGAUCUAUGGGGUCAGCUAGGUUUCCUUUUGUGAGCUUAUAUAAUGGUUUUGUUAGGAUGGCCAAACCAGGUAUCCAAAGGCGAAAGUAUCCAACCAUGGCCAGGAAGGAAAGGAGUUCUUGUUUUGUAGAAGGGGUUGGGGUUUGAGAGAUCAGUCAGACACGAUUGGCAGGGAGAGCACGUGUGUUUUUAUGAGAAUUAUGCCAAGAUAGGUAACAGAUGAGGAAGAAAUUUGAGCUUGAUUGAAGUAAUGGGGGCUGUCUGUGAAGCUUUGCGGCAGUACAGCCCGGGUAAUUUGCUGAGCUUGAUGGGAGUCAGGGUCAGUCCACGUGAAAGCGAAGAGAGGCUGGGAUUAAUGGUGCAAAGGAAUAGUAAAGAAAGCAUGUUUGAGAUCUAGAACAGAAUAAUGGGUUGUAGAGGCAGGUAUUGAGGAUAGGAGAGUAUAUGGGUUUGGCACCACGGGGUGGACAGACAAAACAAUUUGGUUGAUAAGGCGCAGAUCCUGAACUAACUUGUAAGGCUUGUCUGGUUUUAGGACAGGUGAAAUGGGGGAAUUGUAAGGAGAGUUUAUAGGCUUUAAAAGGCCAUGCUGUAGCAGGCGAGUGAUAACAGGCUUUAAUCUUUUUAAAGCAUGCUGCAGGAUGGAAUAUUGGCAUUGAGUGGGGUAAGGGUGAUUAGGUUUUAAUGAGAUGGUAAGGGGUGCAUGAUCGGUCGCCAAGGAGGGAGUAGAGGUAUCUUAUACUUGUGGGUUAAAGUGGGGGAUAAAAGAGGAGGAUGCAAAGGAGGCUUUGGAUUGGGAAGAAGGGCGGCAAUGAGAUAUAGCUGUAGUCCAGGAAUAGUCAGGGAAGCAGAUAAUUUAGUUAAAGUGUCUCAGCCUAAUAAGGGAACUGGGCAGGUGGGGAUAACUAAAAAGGAGUGCUUAAAAGAGUAUUGUCUAAGUUGGCACCAGAGUUGGGGAGUUUUAAGAGGUUUAGAAGCCUGGCCGUCAAUACCCACAACAGUUCUGGGGGCAAGGGAAACGGGCCCUUGAAAAGAAGGUAAUGUGGAGUGGGUAGCCUCCGUAUUGAUUAAGAAGGGGACGGGCUUACCGUCCACUGUGAGACUUACCCGAAGCUCGGCGUCCGUGAUGGUCUAGGGGGCUUCCGAGGCGAUUGGGCAGUGUCAGUCUUCAGCCUCUAAGCCGAGAAGAUCUGGCAAGGAGUCAGUCAGAGAGCCCUGGGCCAGAGUUCCAGGGGCUCUGGGAGUGGCUGCCAGGUGAGUUGAACAGUCUGAUUUUCAGUGGGGUCCCACACAGAUGGGACGCGGCUUAGGAGGAAUCCCGGGCUGCGGGCAUUCCUUGGCCCAGUGGCCAGAUUUCCAGCACGCGUAGCAAGCUUCUGUGGGAAAAGGUUCUGGAGGAACGCCUGGCCACUGCACUUCAGGCAUUUGGAAGUUCUUAUGUGCUGGAGAUGUGGCUGGGGUUUGUCUCACAGUGGAGGCAAGGAAUUGCAACUUUUUUCUAUUAUUGUACACAUUGAAGGUGAGGUUAAUUAAAUCCUGUUGUGGGGUUUGAGGGCCAGAAUUUAAUUUUUGGAGUUUUAUUUAAUGUUGGGAGCAGACUGGGUAAUAAAAUGCAUUUUGAGAAUAAGACGGCCUUUUGACAUUUUAGGGUCUAGGGCUGUAAAGUGUCUCGGAGUUGCUGCCAAACAAGUCAUGAACUGGGCUGGAUUUUUAUAUUUGAUGUAAAAGCCUAAACGCUAUCUGAUUUGGGAUAAAGAGAAAGGAGCAUUAACCUUGACUAUGCCUUUAGCUCCAGCCACCUUUUUAAGAGUAAAUUGCUGGGCAGGAGGGGGAGGGCUAGUCACGGAACGAAACUGUAAGCCGGACCAGGUGUGAGGAGGGGAGGUGAUAAAAAGAUUAUAGGGUGGAGGAGCAGAGGCUGAGGAAGAAUUGGGACCUAGCUUGGCCUGGCAAGGAGCAGCCUUGGGAGGAAGGGAGAGGUCAGAUGGGUCUGUAGAAAAGGAAGAUUAGAAAGACUCAGCGACGCUUGGGGUUGGUACUGAGGGGACAGGCGGAAGGGAAAGAAGGAAGAUUUGGGAUGAGUUGCACUGGGCACAGAGACUAGGAAAGGACUGAUGUGUAAAAGAAUGCCUGGACAUCAGGCACCUCAGACCGUUUGCCUAUUUUACGACAAGAAUUAUUUAGAUCUUGCAGGAUGGAAAAAUUCAAAGUGCCAUUUUCUGGCUAUUUGGAACUGCUGUCGAGUUUGUACUGGGGUCAAGCGGCAUUGCACAAGAAAAUAAGCCAUUUAGGUUUUAGGUCAGGUGUGAGUUGAAGAGGUUUUAAGUUUUUGAGAACACAGGCCAAGGGAGUAGAAGGAGGAAUGGAGGGUGGAACGUUGCCCGUAGUGAAGGAAGCAAGCCUAGAGAAAAGAGAGAGUAGAGAAACAGAGGGAAGGGGUUCGGGCAUUCUUACCUUCCAGAAAAGUGGGAAAAGGGGUUGGGGUGCAGAGAUAAGAGGUUGGGGCAGGGAAAUAAGGGAUGGGGCGCAGAAAUAAGAGGUUGGGGCAUGGUAUUAAGGGACUGGGGUGCAGAGAUAUAAGAGGUUGGGGCACGGAAAUAAGGGAUUGGGGCACAGAGAUGCGAGGUUGUGGCACGGAAAUAAGGGAUUGGGGCACAGAGAUGUUGGGGCAUGGAAAUAAGGGAUUGGGGGUUCUUGCCCCGUAGAAAAGCGGGACUUGCCGCUAAGGGUGAAGGAGAAGGGGUUGAGGGGUACUUGCCCCUGCCCCAGAAAAGCAGAGAAGGGGUAGAGACAAGGAGAGAAGGGGUUGAGGGGUACUUGCCCCUUCCCCAGAAAAGCGGGACUUGCCGCUAAGGGUGAAGGACCAAGGCAGGCGUCCCUGCGUGGUCUGACACCUUUGAAACAUGGGUGAAUAAUCAGAGGCGUCCCUGCAAUGAUUAAACACCAAGGGAAGACUGCCUUCCCAGUCCGUGACCGGCGCCGGAGUUUUGGGUCCACGGAUAAAACGUGUCUCCUUUGUCUCUACCAGAAAAUACCAGAAAAUGAAAGGAAUUGAAAUUAAGAGAAGGGAGAGAUUGAAGUGUGGCACCAAGAUUGAAAGGAGAAAGAGGUUGAGGGUUAGUGAGGGAGGUUGGAGAAGAGAGUAAAAAGAGGCCGCUUACAGGAUUUGAAAUUGGUGAGAUGUUUCUUGGGCUGGUCGGUCUGAGGACCUGAGGUCGUAGGUGGAUCUUUCUCACGGAGCAAAGAACAGGAGGACGGGGGAUUGAUCUCCCAAGGGAGGUCCCCCGAUCCGAGUCACAGCACCAAAUUUCAUGCGCGUCCCUGUGAAAAGACCACCAAACAGGCUUUGUGUGAGCAGUAAAGCUGUUUAUUUCACUUGGGAGCAGGUGGGCUGAGUCCGAAAAGAGAGUCAGCGAAGGGAGAUAAGGGUGGGGCCGUUUUAUAGGAUUUGGGUAGGUAAAGGAAAAUUGCAGUCAAAGCGGGUUUGUUCUCUGGCAGGCAGGAGUGGGGGUCGCAAGGUGCUCAGUGGGGGUGCUUUUUGAGCCAGGAUGAGCUAGGAAAAGGACUUUCACAAGGUAAUGUCAUCACGUAAGGCAAGGACUGGCCAUUUACACUUCUUUUGUGGUGGAAUGUCAUCAGUUAAGGUGGGGCAGGGCAUAUUCACUUCUUUUGUGAUUCUUCACUUACUUCAGGCCAUCUGGGCUUAUAUGUGCAAGUCACAGGGGAUGCGAUUGCUUGGCUUGGGCUCAGAGGCUUGACAGUAGCCACAGUCUGGAUAAGGAUAAGCAACUGGAUCAUAACAAUCAUGCAAUGAUACAUCAGGACCCUCGACCUCACAACAUUUUGUCUACCAUAUGCUUAAAAGAAGAGCUAAAAUUCUAUAAGGGCGAGAAAGACCAUCAACAAUCAACAUAACAGAUAACUACAUUAUGUGAUAUUUUAGAAGUUGAUAGCCUCAUUAAAAAAAGAAAGAAACAGUAGAGCAGAGUAAGGAAGAUAAUAAGAAUCUAGUGGCCAGAAGAGGCAAAUUGUAGUAAUAAAUAAGAAGGUCCAGAUAGGACGCAUUGAGUCAGUGACAUUUGACCAAAAUUUUGAAAGAGAAGAAAUGUUUCACUAAUUGGAUAUCUGCGAGCGGAGCAUUCCAGGCAGAGGGGACUGCAAGAGCAAAGGCGGUUGCUCAGGAGCCUGCUUGCGGAGACAUCAGGAGCAACGUUAGCAAGAAAAAGGAGGAAAGGUAACUGGCACAAGAUCAUGGGGCCCGUGUAAGCCAUCAGUUGUUAAAGCAGUGAAUAUUAUUGCUGAAAUAACUGAAGAAAAGUUACUGAUUCCUAUCUAGGACAAAGAUGGAUAAUUAUGAAUGCCCUGCCUUACUGAUAAUCCUUCAACAUGAAAUCCAGAACCUGAGUUAUUACAAAUUUUAUAAAUUUUCACUUUGUUAUAAAAGAAAGCAUACAGUCUACAUUUUGCCUUAUUUGAUAAAUAAUAGAUUCAUAUCAAACACUUCAUAAAAUUUCUGUUAAAACCAAAUUACAAAACAUUCUGGGAAUAGAUUAGUGCCGAAGUAAAUAGACUUCACUUAUCCCAAUCUCUUUCUUUGUCUUCCUCAUUCUAUUUAACAAAACUACCAAAAGGAUGUACAAAGACUGAUGAUUUUUAAUAAAAAUUAGAAUAAAUAACAACAUGCUAAAAAUGUAAAAAUAUUUUCUGAAAGCAUAUAUGCAGAUGAGUCUAGAGAGUGGGUCUGAGGGCAUUAAUUUACAGGAAGAGAAAUCACUGUCCUGUAGGCAUAUUUCUGUAUUGCAUGGGACUAUGAGAGCUUAAUAACAAGACCCUCAGUUGGGUGGAGGGUGGGGUGGUGUCUACAGAAAGCACAAAUAACGCUGUUAUUGAAGGGUAAGAAGCAGUAGUACAACUCACCUAGAUAAAGCCCACUCUGGAAGUUUUUAAAAUGGGGAAUUAAAAUAAACAAUUUACAGAAAAAUUAGAAAUAAACUGACAGUCAGUCACUCUGGCAUUCAAGGAAGUAUAAAUUGGCCAGAAGUGGUGGCUCAUGCCUGUAAUCCCAGCACUUUGGGAAGCCAAGGUGGGCGGAUUACCUGAGGUCAGGAGUUUGAGACCAGCCUGGCCAACAUGGUGAAACCCCAUCUCUACUAAAACUACAAAAUUUAGCCCAGCAUCGUGGCUGACGCCUGUUACCCCAGCUACUCGGGAGGCUGAGGCAAGAGAAUCCCUUGAACCCAGGAGGCAGAGGUUGCAGUGAGCCAAGAUUGCGCCUUUGCACUCCAGCCUAGGUGACAGAGUGAGACUUCGUCUCAGAAAAAGAGAGAGAGAGAGAUAAAAAAAAGUAUAAAUUUUGAAAAAAGAAGGGUAUUUUUAUCAGUUAUAUAUUUUUAGUUAAUUUUAUAUUGGAUAUAAUAUCCACUAUGGUUGAAGUGCCUGUUAAGAAGGUCUCUCAUAUAUGUAAAUAUCAAAACAAACCAUGUACUGCUAAGGAAUAAUUAGCCUACAUGGAUAAACAUUAUCAAUAUACAUAGACCUUAAUCUCAGAUAUGUGAUUUCUAGGAAUCUCAAUUAAAGAAUUUAAUCCUGCUUUGUGUUUAAAAUUUUGUCUACAAGAGCCACUUUAAUAGGAAAAAGAAGAAAACAAUCUAAAUGUUUAACUGAUAUUUGUUAAUGGUUAAAAUAAAUUACUGCUUAUUUAUCAGUAAAAUGUUUUAUUGCCAUUAAAAAUAGCUUAUAUUAAAUGACUUGAAAAUAUUUUCUUUCCCUUAUAUGUCAUUAAGCUAAAUAUGUGCUAUGAACCUGUAUGGUGUUUUGUAAAAAAGAAAAAAAAGCCUACUGAAACAAAGAUACACAACAAGAUUUUGAAUAUUGGUAAUAUUUUGUGUGACUUUUACUUAUUUGUUUUCUUGCUUUUCUGUUUCCUCCCCUCUAAGUUUUCAAAAACAAACAUGUAUUUCUUCUGUCGCAAAAAAAAAUAAAAGAAAAAUUUACAACAAUGGUUUAUCAAUUUACUAACAAAAUAAAUUUCUCUCUUAAUGUUCUAGUAUUAAAUAUUUUCAUUAUUUUUUAAAACACAUUCAAAAGUACAGUUGACCCUUGAACAACAUAGGUUUGAACUACACCAAUUUUCUUCCAUGCCUGCCACCCUUGAGACAGCAAUACCAACCCCUCCUCUUCUUCCUCCUUCUCCUUGGCCAACUCAACAUGAAGAUAACAAGGAUGAAAACCUUUAUGAUAAUGUACUUCUGCUUAAUGGAUAAUAAAGAUAUUUUCUCUUGCUUAUGAUUUUCUUAAUAAUAUUUCCUUUUCUCUAGAUACCUUGUUGUAAAAACACA
This 9023-nucleotide long non-coding RNA is filed under the name Homo sapiens (human). Its description in RNAcentral is "HSALNT0034485". The record is from RNAcentral. Lineage: Eukaryota; Metazoa; Chordata; Mammalia; Primates; Hominidae.